UGCAGUCGAACGAUGAACCACUUCGGUGGGGAUUAGUGGCGAACGGGUGAGUAACACGUGGGCAAUCUGCCCUGCACUCUGGGACAAGCCCUGGAAACGGGGUCUAAUACCGGAUACUGACCCUCACGGGCAUCUGUGAGGUUCGAAAGCUCCGGCGGUGCAGGAUGAGCCCGCGGCCUAUCAGCUUGUUGGUGAGGUAAUGGCUCACCAAGGCGACGACGGGUAGCCGGCCUGAGAGGGCGACCGGCCACACUGGGACUGAGACACGGCCCAGACUCCUACGGGAGGCAGCAGUGGGGAAUAUUGCACAAUGGGCGAAAGCCUGAUGCAGCGACGCCGCGUGAGGGAUGACGGCCUUCGGGUUGUAAACCUCUUUCAGCAGGGAAGAAGCGAAAGUGACGGUACCUGCAGAAGAAGCGCCGGCUAACUACGUGCCAGCAGCCGCGGUAAUACGUAGGGCGCGAGCGUUGUCCGGAAUUAUUGGGCGUAAAGAGCUCGUAGGCGGCUUGUCACGUCGGUUGUGAAAGCCCGGGGCUUAACCCCGGGUCUGCAGUCGAUACGGGCAGGCUAGAGUUCGGUAGGGGAGAUCGGAAUUCCUGGUGUAGCGGUGAAAUGCGCAGAUAUCAGGAGGAACACCGGUGGCGAAGGCGGAUCUCUGGGCCGAUACUGACGCUGAGGAGCG
This 682-nucleotide ribosomal RNA is filed under the name Streptomycetaceae bacterium GUDS1322. Its description in RNAcentral is "bacterial SSU rRNA". It matches the Rfam family "Bacterial small subunit ribosomal RNA", at positions 56 to 755 of the family's 1533-position model. The record is from RNAcentral. Lineage: Bacteria; Bacillati; Actinomycetota; Actinomycetes; Kitasatosporales; Streptomycetaceae.